Molecule: long non-coding RNA, 1317 nt
Organism: Hordeum vulgare subsp. vulgare (domesticated barley)
Lineage: Eukaryota; Viridiplantae; Streptophyta; Magnoliopsida; Poales; Poaceae
Exons: 4
Source: RefSeq, a predicted model, not a curated record
UACCGCUUCGCUCGGCUCCGUUCAUCUUGGCUCUGUUCCGCUCGAGGCGACUCCCUCGUCGUGGAGGCAACCGGUGGCGGCGCUGGUUUCAAGGCAGAUUGAGGAUUUCGAGUUAGAAUUUAGGCGGAUUUAGCCAAGGAGGUUUUCACCUGAUGAGUUGCCUCAAGGACGUUCCUACGCUGAGAGGGGAUAAUUACUCUGAGUGGAGGAAGAAGGUAGACAUGGCUUUGUGCAUUGAUAAGGUGGACUGGGUUCUGGUGGAACCACAGCCAGUUGCACGAGAGCUGGGAGAAAAAGCAAUGGGAUUAUGGCAAAGAGGAGAUGUCCUACUCCAUACGUAACAGGUUAUGGAUAAAUGCCAACAAGAAAUGUUUGGCGUUUAUUAAAACACCAUUAAGACCACCAUCGUGGGCUCGAUAGCAGAGUGCCCUACUGCAAAGGAGAUGCUCAACAAGAUAAAGAGUCAGUUUACUGGCUCUUUUAAGACAUAUGUCACCCAGUUGAUCAAACAACUAGUGACAGAGAGCUACAAUGGAGGUGGGCAUGGCAUAAGGGAGCACAUCCUUAGGAUGAGCAACACGGCAGCCAAGCUUAAGCCCAUGGAUGCGGAUCUGGAGAUUAAGUCAGCUCUCCUCGUCCACCUGGUCAUGGCUUCGCUGCCUAAGGAGUUUGAGACCUUUGUAGUUAACUACAACAUGCAGCCCGAGACAUGGGAUGUUGAAAAGGUCAUCGCAUUGUGCUCACAAGAAGAGGAAAGGAUUAAGGCUUCACAUGGUGGCUCCCUUAACUAUGUGAAGGAAAAGAAAAAGGUUUUCCCACCUAAGCAGAAUUCUCCCUCAAAGCCACAGAGCAAGCUCCAAGGCAAGGCUCCCGCUUAUUAUCAGCCAAAGCCAAUAAUAGUAGACAAGGACACUUGUAUGUACCGCAAGAAAACAGGGCACUAUAAGAAGGAUUGUGCUGCCUGACUAAAGGUCUUCAUGGCAAAGAGAGGUGCAACUGUUCAUGUUGCAAACUCUUUACAUGGGUUCAGUUCGACGAGGACCAUGUGCCAAAACGAAAGGAGUAUUGAAGUCGCAAAUGGUGUCCAAGCAGAAGUUAAAGCUGUAGGUGACGUCUCCUUGCAGUUAUUCGAAGGAUUCAAGCUUUUGCUUAGAGAUGUGCUUUUUGUGGCUUCAUGUAAUAGGAACUUAAUAAGUGUGUCUCGCUUAGACAAAGACAAUUAUCAAUGUGUUUUUGGACAUGGUAAAUGUACCGUGUGGUACAAUAAUGAUUAUGUAGGCAAUGCCUUUCUUCAUGAUGAGCUUUAUUUGUUAUUAA